GCUAGCGUAGCUCAGUUGGUAGAGCAGCGGUUUUGUAAACCGCAGGUCGUCAGUUCGAGUCUGACCGCUAGCUC
RNAcentral lists this transfer RNA (74 nucleotides) under Kolteria novifilia. RNAcentral's name for it is "Planctomycetes bacterium Pan216 tRNA-Thr". It matches the Rfam family "tRNA". From Rfam's summary of the family: Transfer RNA (tRNA) molecules are approximately 80 nucleotides in length. Their secondary structure includes four short double-helical elements and three loops (D, anti-codon, and T loops). The record is from RNAcentral. Lineage: Bacteria; Pseudomonadati; Planctomycetota; Planctomycetia; Kolteriales; Kolteriaceae.